GCAUUAGUGGUUCAGUGGUAGAAUUCCCACCUUCCAUGCAGGAGACCUGGGUUUGAUUUCUAUCCAAUGCA
This 71-nucleotide transfer RNA is filed under the name Loxodonta africana (African savanna elephant). It matches the Rfam family "tRNA". Rfam says of the family: Transfer RNA (tRNA) molecules are approximately 80 nucleotides in length. Their secondary structure includes four short double-helical elements and three loops (D, anti-codon, and T loops). The record is from Rfam by way of RNAcentral. Lineage: Eukaryota; Metazoa; Chordata; Mammalia; Proboscidea; Elephantidae.